GAUGAACGCUGGCGGCGUGCUUAACACAUGCAAGUCGAACGAUGAAGCCCAGCUUGCUGGGUGGAUUAGUGGCGAACGGGUGAGUAACACGUGAGUAACCUGCCCUUAACUCUGGGAUAAGCCUGGGAAACUGGGUCUAAUACCGGAUAGGAGCGUCCACCGCAUGGUGGGUGUUGGAAAGAUUUAUCGGUUUUGGAUGGAUUCGCGGCCUAUCAGCUUGUUGGUGAGGUAUUGGCUCACCAAGGCGACGACGGGUAGCCGGCCCGAGAGGGUGACCGGCCACAAGGGGACUGAGAGAGGGCCCAGACGCGAACGGGAGGCAGUAGUGGGGAAUAUUGCACAAUGGGGGCAAGCCUGAUGCAGCGACGCCGCGUGAGGAAUGACGGCCUUCGGGGUGUAAACCUCUGUCAGUAGAGAAGAAGCGAAAGUGACGGUACCUGCAGAAGAAGCACCGGCUAACUACGUG
Molecule: ribosomal RNA, 466 nt
Filed under: uncultured bacterium
Lineage: Bacteria
Description: partial 16S ribosomal RNA
Rfam family: Bacterial small subunit ribosomal RNA
Source: RNAcentral